Molecule: small nucleolar RNA, 162 nt
Filed under: Peromyscus maniculatus bairdii (prairie deer mouse)
Lineage: Eukaryota; Metazoa; Chordata; Mammalia; Rodentia; Cricetidae
Description: Small nucleolar RNA SNORA73 family (ENSPEMG00000005552.2)
Source: RNAcentral
CUAAAGGAGCAUGCAUCUCCUGGACUCCGCCCUAGUGGCAAAGGGGAGGAACAUAGGCACUGCCUAGUGAUGUCUGUUCCCUUUCCACAAUGUUAGAGAUGAAGCUGGACUUUGUGCCUGCACCUGCAAUAUUCUGACAACUUCUCCAUUGGGGGCAUUAUG